RNAcentral lists this ribosomal RNA (279 nucleotides) under uncultured bacterium. RNAcentral describes it as "partial 16S ribosomal RNA". It matches the Rfam family "Bacterial small subunit ribosomal RNA", at positions 506 to 784 of the family's 1533-position model. The record is from RNAcentral.
UGCCAGCCGCCGCGGUAAUACGGAGGGGGUUAGCGUUGUUCGGAAUUACUGGGCGUAAAGCGCGCGUAGGCGGACUAUUAAGUCGAGGGUGAAAUCCCAGGGCUCAACCCUGGAACUGCCUUCGAUACUGGCAGUCUUGAGUUCGAGAGAGGUGAGUGGAAUUCCGAGUGUAGAGGUGAAAUUCGUAGAUAUUCGGAGGAACACCAGUGGCGAAGGCGGCUUACUGGGACUUUUCUGACGCUGAGGCACGAAAGCGUGGGUAGCAAACAGGAUUAGAUA